UGCAGUCGYACGAUGAUGCCCAGCUUGCUGGGCGGAUUAGUGGCGAACGGGUGAGUAACACGUGAGUAACCUGCCCCUGACUCUGGGAUAAGCGUUGGAAACGACGUCUAAUACUGGAUAUGAUCACCGGCCGCAUGGUCUGGUGGUGGAAAGAUUUUUUGGUUGGGGAUGGACUCGCGGCCUAUCAGCUUGUUGGUGAGGUAAUGGCUCACCAAGGCGACGACGGGUAGCCGGCCUGAGAGGGUGACCGGCCACACUGGGACUGAGACACGGCCCAGACUCCUACGGGAGGCAGCAGUGGGGAAUAUUGCACAAUGGGCGAAAGCCUGAUGCAGCAACGCCGCGUGAGGGAUGACGGCCUUCGGGUUGUAAACCUCUUUUAGUAGGGAAGAAGCGAAAGUGACGGUACCUGCAGAAAAAGCACCGGCUAACUACGUGCCAGCAGCCGCGGUAAUACGUAGGGUGCAAGCGUUGUCCGGAAUUAUUGGGCGUAAAGAGCUCGUAGGCGGUUUGUCGCGUCUGCUGUGAAAUCCCGAGGCUCAACCUCGGGCUUGCAGUGUGUACGGGCAGACUAGAGUGCGGUACGGGAGAUUGAAUUCCUGUGUAGCGAUGGAAUGCGCAGAUAUCAG
RNAcentral lists this ribosomal RNA (629 nucleotides) under Curtobacterium sp. Its description in RNAcentral is "bacterial SSU rRNA". The record is from RNAcentral. Lineage: Bacteria; Bacillati; Actinomycetota; Actinomycetes; Micrococcales; Microbacteriaceae.